GGAGAUAUAGCUCAGUGGCAGAGCAUGUGCUUAGCAUGCAGGAGGCCCUGGGUUCAAUCCCUGGUACCUCUC
Molecule: transfer RNA, 72 nt
Filed under: Camelus bactrianus (Bactrian camel)
Lineage: Eukaryota; Metazoa; Chordata; Mammalia; Artiodactyla; Camelidae
Also listed under: 2 other names
Rfam family: tRNA
About the family: Transfer RNA (tRNA) molecules are approximately 80 nucleotides in length. Their secondary structure includes four short double-helical elements and three loops (D, anti-codon, and T loops).
Source: Rfam by way of RNAcentral